AAAAAAUAAAAUCAUCCAGGCAAAGACCAAGCCCCUUCAUCUGCUUAGUCUAUCACAAUAGAAUGAAAAUAUAUGUAAGAAAAGAAAUUGUUGUAUUUACAAUAAAUAUUCACAUAUUACAAUUAUAAGAAAACAGUUUAGACAAACUUUAAACAUUAUCUUUCUUAUAAAUAAAAACAGGAGGGUUUUCCAGGACAGGCCAUUCAUUGCCAAAUAUUUCUUAACCGCUCUAUGGUGCACAGAGGCUCUUAAGGAGGUUUAUUCAAAGCAAAAUUAUUGUCAUUUAAACCCAUAGUAAAACUACAUGGGGGUGCUCCCUUAGGCAGUACAUAUACUAAAAUUGGAGUGGUACAGAGAUUAGCUCGGGGAGUUCCUGUUGUAGUUCAGCAGAAAUGAACCCCACUAGUAUCCGUGUGGAUGAUUUUAGAUCCCUGGCCUGCUCAGUGGGUUAAGGAUCCAGUGUUGCCAUGAGCUGUGGUGUAGGUUGCAGACAUGGCUCAGAUCCCACAAUGCUGUAGCUGUGGGGUAGGCCAGCAGCUGAAGCUCCAAUUCAACCCCUAGCCUGGGAACUUCCGUAUGCCUUGGGUGUAGCCCUAAAAAAGACACACACACACACACAGAUUAGUGUGGCCCCUGCAGAAGGAUGACAGGCAAAUUCAUGAAAUGUUUCAUAUUUUUCAGUAGAAAUUGACAGAACAUUGGAAAAAAAUUAUAAUUAAAAAUUUUUUUGAAACUGCAUUGGGGAGUUCCCAUUGUGGCCAGGUCAUUAAAAAACCCAACUAGUAACCUUGAGGAUGCAGAUUUGAUCCCUGGCCCCACUCAGUGAGUUAAGGAUCCAGCACUGCCCUGAGAUGUGGUGUAGUUCACAAACAUGGCUCAGAUCCCGAGUUGAUGUGGCUGUGGUGUAGCCCAGCAGCUACAGCUCGGAUUUGACCCCUAGCCUGGGAACCUCCAUAUGCGGUGGGUGCGGCCCUGGAAAGACACAAGACGAAAACGAACAAACAAAAAACCUGGCUUUCUAGCCAUUC
Molecule: long non-coding RNA, 1028 nt
Filed under: Sus scrofa (pig)
Lineage: Eukaryota; Metazoa; Chordata; Mammalia; Artiodactyla; Suidae
Source: RNAcentral